AUCCAACUGACGAAUGAAAAAUAGGACGAAAUGCAUGUCUUGGAU
Molecule: non-coding RNA, 45 nt
Filed under: Schistosoma margrebowiei
Lineage: Eukaryota; Metazoa; Platyhelminthes; Trematoda; Strigeidida; Schistosomatidae
Source: RNAcentral